Molecule: ribosomal RNA, 253 nt
Filed under: uncultured bacterium
Lineage: Bacteria
Description: partial 16S ribosomal RNA
Rfam family: Bacterial small subunit ribosomal RNA
Source: RNAcentral
UACGUAGGGUGCGAGCGUUGUCCGGAAUUACUGGGCGUAAAGAGCUCGUAGGUGGUUUGUCGCGUUGUUCGUGAAAACUCACAGCUCAACUGUGGGCGUGCGGGCGAUACGGGCAGACUGGAGUACUGCAGGGGAGAGUGGAAUUCCUGGUGUAGCGGUGAAAUGCGCAGAUAUCAGGAAGAACACCCGUGGCGAAGGCGGCUCUCUGGGACGGUACUGACGCUGAGACGCGAAAGCGUGGGGAGCGAACAGG